CACGUAGGGGGCAAGCGUUGUCCGGAUUUAUUGGGCGUAAAGAGCUCGUAGGUGGUUCGGUAAGUCGGGUGUUAAACCCCCAGGCUCAACCUGGGGACGCCACUCGAUACUGCUGUGACUUGAGUCCGGUAGGGGAGCGUGGAAUUCCUGGUGUAGCGGUGAAAUGCGCAGAUAUCAGGAGGAGCACCAGCGGCGAAGGCGGCGCUCUGGGCCGGUACUGACACUGAGGAGCGAAAGCGUGGGUAGCAAACAGG
RNAcentral lists this ribosomal RNA (254 nucleotides) under uncultured bacterium. RNAcentral describes it as "partial 16S ribosomal RNA". It matches the Rfam family "Bacterial small subunit ribosomal RNA", at positions 524 to 776 of the family's 1533-position model. The record is from RNAcentral.